Molecule: ribosomal RNA, 464 nt
Filed under: uncultured Comamonadaceae bacterium
Lineage: Bacteria; Pseudomonadati; Pseudomonadota; Betaproteobacteria; Burkholderiales; Comamonadaceae
Description: partial 16S ribosomal RNA
Rfam family: Bacterial small subunit ribosomal RNA
Source: RNAcentral
CCUACGGGAGGCAGCAGUGGGGAAUUUUGGACAAUGGGCGCAAGCCUGAUCCAGCAAUGCCGCGUGCAGGAUGAAGGCCUUCGGGUUGUAAACUGCUUUUGUACGGAACGAAAAGGCUCUGGCUAAUACCUGGGGCUGAUGACGGUACCGUAAGAAUAAGCACAGGCUAACUACGUGCCAGCAGCCGCGGUAAUACGUAGGGUGCGAGCGUUAAUCGGAAUUACUGGGCGUAAAGCGUGCGCAGGCGGUUUUGUAAGACAGGUGUAAAAUCCCCGGGCUUAACCGGGGAACUGCACUUGGGACUGCAAGGCUGGAGUACGGCAGAGGGGGAUGGAAUUCCGCGUGUAGCAGUGAAAUGCGUAGAUAUGCGGAGGAACACCGAUGGCGAGGGCAGUCCCCUGGGCCUGUACUGACGCUCAUGCACGAAAGCGUGGGGAGCAAACAGGAUUAGAUACCCUGGUAGU